AGCUACAUCUGGCUACUGGGUCUC
RNAcentral lists this non-coding RNA (24 nucleotides) under Drosophila erecta. Lineage: Eukaryota; Metazoa; Arthropoda; Insecta; Diptera; Drosophilidae. RNAcentral also lists the same sequence under 58 other names. The record is from RNAcentral.